UACAUUUUUACUUUACAGCGCAUUAGUUGCCAUAAACAUGUUUUAUGCACUUUAGCUUUUUUCAAUAGUCAUUGGAAACAGUUUUGGUUUUUCAAUAAACCCUGCUACUACUGAAGAGCUUGUUCAGGAAGAAAGGAAUGUCAAUCUCUCCUGCAAAUAUGAUGGCAAUGUCUACAAUCUCCAGUGGUACCGCCAAUAUCCCAGGUCCAAACCAGAAUUCCUCCUGUACAUCACACCAGAGGGGUCUAUAUUUAAAGCUACUCCCCCACCUCCUCGUCUGACAGUUUCCAUUGACAAAGUGGAAAAACGUGUGGAUCUGAAGAUCUCCUAUGCUGUAGUGACAGACUCUGCUCUGUACUACUGUGCCCUGACGCCCACAGUGACAGGAAACCCAGAAAUACUGUACAAAAACAUGUCAAGUGCCAUGGAAAGAAACCAAUGAGAAGGGGAGGAGCUGCAUCUAGGCAAGAGACGAG
Molecule: long non-coding RNA, 476 nt
Filed under: Salmo salar (Atlantic salmon)
Lineage: Eukaryota; Metazoa; Chordata; Actinopteri; Salmoniformes; Salmonidae
Description: lncRNA (ENSSSAG00000105374.1)
Source: RNAcentral